This 248-nucleotide ribosomal RNA is filed under the name uncultured bacterium. RNAcentral describes it as "partial 16S ribosomal RNA". It matches the Rfam family "Bacterial small subunit ribosomal RNA", at positions 524 to 770 of the family's 1533-position model. The record is from RNAcentral.
UACGAAGGGGGCUAGCGUUGCUCGGAAUCACUGGGCGUAAAGGGCGCGUAGGCGGCCAUUCAAGUCAGAGGUGAAAGCCCAAGGCUCAACCUUGGAACUGCCUUUGAUACUGUUUGGCUUGAGACCGGUAGAGGUAAGUGGAACUGCGAGUGUAAGAGGUGAAAUUCGUAGAUAUUCGCAAGAACACCAGUGGCGAAGGCGGCUUACUGGACCGGUUCUGACGCUGAGGCGCGAAAGCGUGGGGAGCA